CUGAACCUGCCGAAGGAUCAUU
This 22-nucleotide ribosomal RNA is filed under the name Parmelina pastillifera. RNAcentral describes it as "partial 18S ribosomal RNA". The record is from RNAcentral. Lineage: Eukaryota; Fungi; Ascomycota; Lecanoromycetes; Lecanorales; Parmeliaceae.